GUCUCACUGGGAGGACAGGCUCAAAACAACUGCUAACACGCAGACAUCAACCUCUAUAUGAACAUCAAAAUCCCAUAAAAAAACUAUGAACAUCUUCCCAUUAAUGUUUGCUCUCAAUGCUGUGCUGGUUUCAGGAUCUUCUCUCAGUGAUCAAGUCCACCAAACUCCAUUUUACAUUCAAGCAAGCCCAGGAGAAACAGCCGGAAUCAACUGCUCUCACAGUAUUCAGAGCUACAACCGAAUCCUCUGGUACAAGAGAUCAGAGGACAGACAGCUACAAUUUCUGGGCUACGUGUAUCAGGGCACCAGCAAUCCUGAACCUGGAGUAAAUAUGGUAAUGAAAGGGAGUGCAGGUGUAGGCCAGACCUGCACUUUGACAAUUAAAGAGCUCACUGUGAGCAGCAGUGCAGUUUAUUUCUGUGCUGCUACAGGUGUGAACGACUACAACCCUGCUUACUUUGGCAAAGGCACCAAGCUCACAGUUUUAGAUCCAGAAAUUGAAGUGAAAAAACCAACAGUGAAAGUUUUACAUCCGUCAGAACAAGAAUGCAAAGACCACAACGGGAAGAAGAAGAAGACCCUGGUCUGUGUGGCCUCUAAUUUUUACCCAGAUCAUGUCAGCGUGUCCUGGGAGCGCAAUAACCAGAAAAUCACUGAUGGCGUGGCAACUGACACCGCCGCCAAGAGGCAUGGAAGUUUUUACAAAAUCUCCAGCCGGCUGACGGUCCCUAUCAGAGAAUGGCUAAAUUCUGGAAAUGAGUUUAAGUGCAAUGUCAGCUUCUUUGAUGGAUCCUCUACCAGUUAUCACAAUGAUACCAUUUUAUCAAACACAACAGACACAGGCAUGUCUCGAGAGAACUACCUGAAGAUCACCCAGAACGCCAAACUCUCCUACAGUGUCCUGAUUGUGAAGAGCUGCAUCUACGGAGCCUUCAUCUGCUUUCUGGUGUGGAAGCUUCAGGUAAAACAUGGAAAGCAAAACAAGUGAGAGCUGAGCCGGAGUUUUGAUUCCUCCUCCCUGUACAUAAUAAACCUGAUCUGCUGUUAUUCUGUAUAGCCAUGCAAAUAAAUUACCAAUAGUAUUUUUUUUUCCAGAUACUGUCUAAGUGCUUGUUUAUCUUCAUAUGCUCUUUAACAGAAGUGUUUUAAAUAAAUGUCAUGUGUGUCCGAUUUUCUCAGUAGUUUGUUUGGAAAAUUAAUAAAAAGACAUCAUUUGGGUCACAAA
Molecule: non-coding RNA, 1225 nt
Organism: Girardinichthys multiradiatus
Lineage: Eukaryota; Metazoa; Chordata; Actinopteri; Cyprinodontiformes; Goodeidae
Source: the annotation of a RefSeq genome assembly